This is a microRNA precursor of Gadus morhua (Atlantic cod), 62 nucleotides long. Lineage: Eukaryota; Metazoa; Chordata; Actinopteri; Gadiformes; Gadidae. The record is from Ensembl.
CUCAGGAGUAUGAUAGGCCCGGUUAUAACCUGUUAGCCUAACGGGGCCUUCAUUAUUCUGAG